Long non-coding RNA from Mauremys mutica (yellowpond turtle), 337 nucleotides. RefSeq lists it as uncharacterized. The record is from RefSeq and is a predicted model, not a curated record. The transcript is spliced from 3 exons. NCBI's taxonomy places the organism in Eukaryota, Metazoa, Chordata, Testudines, Geoemydidae.
UGUGUGAUUCUUUAGGUAUCAUCCUCUUUUCAUAAGCAGAGAUGCAUGCUUAGAUGUGAAGAAUGAGAGAGUGAUCCAAAGAACAUCCACACAUGAAAAAUGCCCAGAUCAUGACUGAAAAGUUCAGGGAAAAACAAAGGAAUAAGAAGACAAGAAAAAAAGUGAUGCAUUGAGAGGUGAAGCAUUUUGUACAUCAGAAGAUCAUGUGUGGUAUACUCUUCUUCUUCACAUGAUCCAUUGUCUACAGCCAAGCACUGAGGUACAACCGCAUCUGCUCCCUCAGACAGAGACCAACACCUACAAAAUCUUCACCAAGAAUUCUCAAAACUACGAUACC